ACGAACGCUGGCGGCGUGCUUAACACAUGCAAGUCGAACGGAAAGGCCCUGCUUUUGUGGGGUGCUCGAGUGGCGAACGGGUGAGUAACACGUGAGUAACCUGCCCUUGACUUUGGGAUAACUUCAGGAAACUGGGGCUAAUACCGGAUAGGAGCUCCUGCUGCAUGGUGGGGGUUGGAAAGUUUCGGCGGUUGGGGAUGGACUCGCGGCUUAUCAGCUUGUUGGUGGGGUAGUGGCUUACCAAGGCUUUGACGGGUAGCCGGCCUGAGAGGGUGACCGGCGACAUUGGGACUGAGAGACGGCCCAGACGCCUACGGGAGGCAGCAGUGGGGAAUAUUGCACAAUGGGCGGAAGCCUGAUGCAGCAACGCCGCGUGCGGGAUGACGGCCUUCGGGUUGUAAACCGCUUUCGCCUGUGACGAAGCGUGAGUGACGGUAAUGGGUAAAGAAGCACCGGCUAACUACGUG
RNAcentral lists this ribosomal RNA (467 nucleotides) under uncultured bacterium. RNAcentral describes it as "partial 16S ribosomal RNA". It matches the Rfam family "Bacterial small subunit ribosomal RNA", at positions 29 to 507 of the family's 1533-position model. The record is from RNAcentral.